Molecule: long non-coding RNA, 324 nt
Organism: Gadus macrocephalus (Pacific cod)
Lineage: Eukaryota; Metazoa; Chordata; Actinopteri; Gadiformes; Gadidae
Exons: 2
Source: RefSeq, a predicted model, not a curated record
UUCUGAACCCAGAACCCGGCCAGAAGCCGUUUAGACCAGUUUAACCCGGACCAGGCCUGCUGCUACAUUAUAAGUGUUGAUAUUUCUCUAUGUUUCUUUAUUGCCUUGCUGAUUAUAAGUAUUCUGAAUCCCUCUCUCUCUCUCUCACUCCUGUUAUCUAAUACUAUUAACUCGCAGAGCAAAUGCACGGCAGAGUCCAGUCCACUACCUGACCCCCUCUCAGUGAUAAACAGAGGCGUCGUAAAGCUAGGUGCCAGCAAAGGAGAGUGUGAGCCCAACGCUCCUGCAUAAGGCCUAAUGAGGACCCGAUACUCGGAACAGAGU